RNAcentral lists this long non-coding RNA (1065 nucleotides) under Struthio camelus australis. RNAcentral's name for it is "lncRNA (ENSSCUG00000003147.1)". Lineage: Eukaryota; Metazoa; Chordata; Aves; Struthioniformes; Struthionidae. The record is from RNAcentral.
AAACAACAUCUUUGGAAGCAAAAAAUGCAGGAAGAGUUGCUUGUCCUUGGUCUUCAAAUAAAUACAGCAAAAAUCAAAGCAAACAACUGUGGAGCUAAAUUCUGUGAUGCCAGCUUCAGAAAAAUCCCUUAGUGCCCUAGAAACACUGGACAAAAUUCACAGUGCAGAACUCAGCAAAAAUAAAUAGUACUAAUGAUGCCAAGAGUGAGACGUUUCAGAACAGGAUACGGAAGAUGCUUUGGAUUCUGGCCUAAAGCCACUCUUAGCCAUAGGGAAAUUUAAAGCCAGGGAAGUAAAGGAGGAGUUCAUCAGGACCACGGAUUCUGAAAUUGAGGACAGCCGCAACUCAGCUGCUGCACAAAGAGUUGAUUCAGCAUUAAUACAGCUGCGUGAACAAAACCGUCUGGGAGAUGAGAGGAGCAACUGGCUGGAUGAAAGCGUGCAUGAAUGUAGUGGCUCAGCCACUGACCGACAAUACAUUUCUCUGGUAAGAGCAGGGCUAGCAGGCUCCUCCCCCUUUCUUUGCUAGUAACGUUAGUAUUUCUGGUAACAUUAAUGGGCAAACUGUGGGUUGUGGGGGUUGGUUUUGGUUUUGUUUUGGUUGUUGUUCCUUCCCUUGCCCCUCCCCCCCCCCAGCAAAGUAAUGGCCUGACUUCUGGUGUGUCUCUUUAAUGUAAGAGACUGUGACUUCUGAGGAAGAGGUAUGUUGUCAUGAGGUGACUCGGAUUUGGUAAUUCCAUCUUUUCUGCAGAAAGGUUUACCCAGAAGUGUUACAAACGCUCCUGCCUGGAACACCAGGCCGAGAUGCCUGACCGGAGCAGGAGCCUGCAGAGGCUCCUGGUGUAACUGGCCACUGGGACCAUCGCUGCUUGCUCAGCAGUUGGAAUGAUUUCUGUAACCCUUCUAUUCUGCAGGACAUCGCUUAUUCCCGUGAUAAGGUAUGACAUAUUCGUCUCUCAGUACUCCAUAAUAGUAUCACUUACGUUUCUAUAUUGCAUUUGUUGAAUAUUUUCAGACCUGUAAGUGACUAAAAUUGACAUUUUUUUUUUAAGCUAUCAAAAAAUC